UGGCACAACAUUUCCCUAAAACUACUGAGGAAAACCCUAUAUUUGUAGUAAGCCGGGAACCUCUGAAUACCAUAGGAUUAAUAUAUGAAAAAAUUUCCCUCCCUAAAGUACAUCCACGUUAUGAUUUAGACGGGGAUGCUAGCAUGGCUAAGGUUAGUAUUUAAUUUAAUUACUAUGUAAACAUCUGAAUUUAAUGUAUCCUAUCAAUAGUGGAAGCAAUAACAUGUAUUGUGUCUUCAUGUAUGUCUAUAUGACUUAGGAAAUUAUUCACUUAAAUUGAUACCCUUUCCAAGUUAUUUUGUGGUCUUUCUUUUUUACUUUUUAUCCUUUCUUGAAUUCAUUAUAUAAGAAAAUUCUCUCCAUUGAGAUAGUGCAUGUUUAGAUAAUGUUAAGGAUAACAUAUUUAUUAUAUUUAUAUCUAUUUUUAACUCUUAGAAAUUGGUGGUUUAUUGUGUUUUUAAUUAACCUGAUAAAAAUGUGUAAGCUUGAAUAAUUUUGUGUAAAAGUUUUUCUUACCCUAUACCACAAUUAGCACCAAAUAUUGACAUUUUAUUUCUUUAUUAGGCAAUAACAGGGGUUGUGUGUUAUGCCUGCAGAAUUGCCAGUACCUUACUGCUUUAUCAGGAAUUAAUGCGAAAGGGGAUACGAUGGCUGAUUGAAUUAAUUAAAGAUGAUUACAAUGAAACUGUUCACAAAAAGACAGAAGUUGUGAUCACAUUGGAUUUCUGUAUCAGAAACAUUGAAAAAACUGUGAAA
Molecule: small RNA, 756 nt
Filed under: Pan troglodytes (chimpanzee)
Lineage: Eukaryota; Metazoa; Chordata; Mammalia; Primates; Hominidae
Description: retained intron
Source: RNAcentral